Molecule: ribosomal RNA, 1477 nt
Filed under: uncultured bacterium
Lineage: Bacteria
Description: 16S ribosomal RNA
Rfam family: Bacterial small subunit ribosomal RNA
Source: RNAcentral
CUCAGGAUGAACGCUAGCGACAGGCUUAACACAUGCAAGUCGAGGGGCAGCGGGGGUGCAGGCUUGCCUGCACCUGCCGGCGACCGGCGCACGGGUGAGUAACACGUAUGGAACCUGCCCGCCACAGGGGGAUAACCCGGGGAAACCCGGCCUAAUACCCCAUGCCGCCCGGACCGGGCAUCCGGACCGGGCGAAAGGAGGAAUCCGGUGGCGGCUGGGCAUGCGGCGCAUUAGCUUGACGGCGGGGUAACGGCCCACCGUGGCGACGAUGCGUAGGGGUUCUGAGAGGAAGGCCCCCCACACUGGAACUGAGACACGGUCCAGACUCCUACGGGAGGCAGCAGUGAGGAAUAUUGGUCAAUGGGCGGAAGCCUGAACCAGCCAAGUCGCGUGAGGGAAUAAGGCCCUACGGGUCGUAAACCUCUUUUGCCGGGGAGCAAGGGCCGGGACGAGUCCCGGCCCGGAGAGUACCCGGAGAAAAAGCAUCGGCUAACUCCGUGCCAGCAGCCGCGGUAAUACGGAGGAUGCGAGCGUUAUCCGGAUUUAUUGGGUUUAAAGGGUGCGUAGGCGGGCUUUUAAGUCAGCGGUAAAAAUUCGGGGCUCAACCCCGUCCGGCCGUUGAAACUGGGGGCCUUGAGUGGGCGAGAAGAAGGCGGAAUGCGUGGUGUAGCGGUGAAAUGCAUAGAUAUCACGCAGAACCCCGAUUGCGAAGGCAGCCUUCCGGCGCCCUACUGACGCUGAGGCACGAAAGUGCGGGGAUCGAACAGGAUUAGAUACCCUGGUAGUCCGCACAGUAAACGAUGGAUGCCAGCUGUCCGGGCCGAAUGGGGCCUGGGUGGCAAAGCGAAAGCGUUAAGCAUCCCACCUGGGGAGUACGCCGGCAACGGUGAAACUCAAAGGAAUUGACGGGGGCCCGCACAAGCGGAGGAACAUGUGGUUUAAUUCGAUGAUACGCGAGGAACCUUACCCGGGCUCAAACGCGUCAGGGAUCCCCUUCGAAAGGAGGGGAGUCAGCAAUGACCUGGCGCGAGGUGCUGCAUGGUUGUCGUCAGCUCGUGCCGUGAGGUGUCGGCUUAAGUGCCAUAACGAGCGCAACCCCUACCGACAGUUGCUAACUGGUGAAGCAGAGGACUCUGUCGGGACUGCCGGCGCAAGCUGCGAGGAAGGCGGGGAUGACGUCAAAUCAGCACGGCCCUUACGUCCGGGGCGACACACGUGUUACAAUGGCAGGUACAGCGGGAAGCCACCGGGCGACCGGGCGCGGAACCCGAAAACCUGUCUCAGUUCGGAUCGGAGUCUGCAACCCGACUCCGUGAAGCUGGAUUCGCUAGUAAUCGCGCAUCAGCCACGGCGCGGUGAAUACGUUCCCGGGCCUUGUACACACCGCCCGUCAAGCCAUGGGAGCCGGGGGUGCCUGAAGUCCGUGACCGCAAGGGGCGGCCUAGGGUAAAACCGGGACUGGGGCUAAGUCGUAACA